GUAGGUGGCAAGCGUUGUCCGGAAUUAUUGGGCGUAAAGCGCGCGCAGGUGGGUUCUUUAAGUCUGAUGUGAAAGCCCCGGGCUCAACCGGGGAGGUCAUUGGAAACUGGGGAACUUGAGUGCAGGAGAGGAAAGUGGAAUUCCACGUGUAGCGGUGAAAUGCGUAGAUAUGUGGAGGAACACCAGUGGCGAAGGCGACUUUCUGGCCUGUAACUGACACUGAGGCGCGAAAGCGUGGGGAGCAAACAGGAUUAGAUACCCUGGUAGUCCACGCCGUAAACGAUGAGUGCUAAGUGUUGGGGGGUUUCCGCCCCUCAGUGCUGCAGCUAACGCAUUAAGCACUCCGCCUGGGGAGUACGGUCGCAAGACUG
RNAcentral lists this ribosomal RNA (371 nucleotides) under uncultured organism. RNAcentral's name for it is "partial 16S ribosomal RNA". It matches the Rfam family "Bacterial small subunit ribosomal RNA", at positions 527 to 896 of the family's 1533-position model. The record is from RNAcentral.